Molecule: ribosomal RNA, 441 nt
Filed under: uncultured bacterium
Lineage: Bacteria
Description: partial 16S ribosomal RNA
Rfam family: Bacterial small subunit ribosomal RNA
Source: RNAcentral
CCUUCGGGUGGCAGCAGUGGGGAAUAUUGCGCAAUGGGGGAAACCCUGACGCAGCAACGCCGCGUGAGUGAAGACGUAUCUCGGUUUGUAAAGCUCUAUCAGCAGGGAAGAAGGAAGACGGUAGCCGACUAAUAAGCACCGGCUCACUACGUGCCAGCAGCCGGGGUAAUACGCAGGAGGCGAGCGUUAUCCGGAUUUACUGGGGGUAAAGGGAGCGUAGACGGCGUUGCAAGUCUGAAGUGAAAGUCCGGGGCUCAACCGGGGAACCGCCUUGGAAACUGGGAGGCUGGAGUGCUGGAGAGGUAGGCGGAAUUCCUGGUGUAGCGGUGAAAUGCGUAGAUAUCAGGAGGAACACCGGUGGCGAAGGCGGCUUACUGGACAGUGACUGACGCUGAGGAGCGAAAGCGUGGGUAGCAAACAGGAUUAGAUACCCGGGUAGUC